Molecule: signal recognition particle RNA, 83 nt
Filed under: marine eukaryotic metagenome
Description: Bacterial small signal recognition particle RNA
Rfam family: Bacterial small signal recognition particle RNA
About the family: The signal recognition particle (SRP) is a universally conserved ribonucleoprotein involved in the co-translational targeting of proteins to membranes.
Source: RNAcentral
CGGGCUCUGUGCAACGAAACCCCGUGAACUCCGCCAGGUCCGGAAGGAAGCAACGGUAGCGGGUCAUUUCCGUGUGCCGCAGA